GAUGAACGCUGGCGGCGUGCCUAAUACAUGCAAGUCGAGCGAACAGAUGAGGAGCUUGCUCCUCUGACGCUAGCGGCGGACGGGUGAGUAACACGUGGAUAACCUACCUAUAAGACUGGGAUAACUUCGGGAAACCGGAGCUAAUACCGGAUAAUAUAUUGAACCGCAUGGUUCGAUAGUGAAAGACGGUUUUGCUGUCACUUAUAGAUGGAUCCGCGCCGCAUUAGCUAGUUGGUAAGGUAACGGCUUACCAAGGCAACGAUGCGUAGCCGACCUGAGAGGGUGAUCGGCCACACUGGAACUGAGACACGGUCCAGACUCCUACGGGAGGCAGCAGUAGGGAAUCUUCCGCAAUGGGCGAAAGCCUGACGGAGCAACGCCGCGUGAGUGAUGAAGGUCUUCGGAUCGUAAAACUCUGUUAUUAGGGAAGAACAAAUGUGUAAGUAACUAUGCACGUCUUGACGGUACCUAAUCAGAAAGCCACGGCUAACUACGUG
This 497-nucleotide ribosomal RNA is filed under the name uncultured bacterium. Its description in RNAcentral is "partial 16S ribosomal RNA". It matches the Rfam family "Bacterial small subunit ribosomal RNA", at positions 28 to 507 of the family's 1533-position model. The record is from RNAcentral.